Molecule: non-coding RNA, 72 nt
Organism: Pteropus alecto (black flying fox)
Lineage: Eukaryota; Metazoa; Chordata; Mammalia; Chiroptera; Pteropodidae
Source: Rfam
GGUUCAUAGUGUAGUGGUGAGCAUGUCUGCUUUACACGCAGAAGGUCCUGGGUUCGCGCCCCAGUGGAGCCA